GAGAGUUGGGCCUGCUCAGUGAUUUAACAGCUGCGGUUAAUAACUGUACUAAGGUAGCAUAAUAAAUUGUCUUAUAAAUUGAGACUAGAAUGAAUGGUUUGACGAAAGUUAUACUGUCUCUAUUAUAUUUUUUUGAAAUUAAUUUUUAUAGUGAAAAAGCUUAAAUUUUUUAAAGGGACGAAAAGACCCUAUUGAGCUUUUUUGGUUGGGGUGAUCGAGGAAUAAAUAACUUCCUUAAAUAAACAAUUUCUUUUAUGAUAAGUUACCAUAGGGAUAACAGCGUAAUUUCUUUUGAGAGUUCUUAUUAAAAAAGAAGAUUGCGACCUCGAUGUUGGAUUAAAAUUAACCUUAAGGUGGAGAAGCUUUAUUUGGUAAAUCUGUUCGAUUUUUAAAAUUUU
Molecule: ribosomal RNA, 398 nt
Filed under: Argonauta nodosus
Lineage: Eukaryota; Metazoa; Mollusca; Cephalopoda; Octopoda; Argonautidae
Description: partial 16S ribosomal RNA
Rfam family: Bacterial large subunit ribosomal RNA
Source: RNAcentral